GGAUAUAGCUCAGGGGUCAGAAUGUUGGACUCGUAAUUUGAAGGCCCAGGUUCGAAUCCUGUACUUUUAACU
This 72-nucleotide transfer RNA is filed under the name Rhamnusium bicolor. RNAcentral describes it as "tRNA-OTHER". The record is from RNAcentral. Lineage: Eukaryota; Metazoa; Arthropoda; Insecta; Coleoptera; Cerambycidae.